GUUGGAUCGCCAGCUAGACCAAAAGGUCAAGGGUUCGAUUCACGGGAGAAGCUUUUAAUACCCUGAAAAAACUGUUUUCUUUUAUGUCCCAUUAAUUUUUGUUGCCUCUCCUUUCUGGAUUACCUUUCUCUGUACAAUACUUCAUUCUCAUUUAUUUUUAUAAUCUCCUAAUUCUAUUGCAGAUUUCACCUGACUUUGGUUAUUACUGCAACAAUAUGCUGCUGGAUGAUGUGGGCAAUUGUUUAUAUGGCCCAAAUGAAACCGCUCAUAGUACCGAUAUUGAAUGAGAGUGAAUAAAUCUCAACUUGAACAGAUUUAGGCUCCUUGUAAGUUAGAGAAUGUGGAUCAAGUUUGGCUGCUGGAGAAAAUUUGAUUUCGAUUUCGGCUCUCAUGAAUCAUUCAGUAUUUUCUAAAGGUGGAUUUGUAUGUAUUUAUUGUUGGAUAAUGGUAUUUCAUUUGCCAUUUCUAUAUUGCUGCCUGAUGUUUGUAUUACAAUGUUUGUAUUUAACACUCAUUCAUUUCAGAGAUCGGUAGACAAUGAUAUUGGGUAUGUAUUUUGGUGACAAAUAAGUUCAUUAAAGAAAUGUUUUUCUCUA
This is a non-coding RNA of Lupinus albus (white lupine), 596 nucleotides long. The record is from the annotation of a GenBank genome assembly. Lineage: Eukaryota; Viridiplantae; Streptophyta; Magnoliopsida; Fabales; Fabaceae.